UACGAAUGGGGCGAGCGUUGUUCGGAAUCACUGGGCGUAAAGCGUACGUAGGCGGACUAGCAAGUCAGGAGUGAAAUCCCGGGGCUUAACCCCGGAAUUGCUUUUGAAACUGCUAGUCUAGAGGCUCGGAGAGGUCAGCGGAAUUCCCAGUGUAGAGGUGAAAUUCGCAGAUAUUGGGAGGAACACCAGUUGCGUAGGCGGCUGGCUGGACGAGUACUGACGCUGAGGUACGAAAGCGUGGGGAUCAAAC
RNAcentral lists this ribosomal RNA (250 nucleotides) under uncultured bacterium. Its description in RNAcentral is "partial 16S ribosomal RNA". It matches the Rfam family "Bacterial small subunit ribosomal RNA", at positions 524 to 773 of the family's 1533-position model. The record is from RNAcentral.